RNAcentral lists this ribosomal RNA (440 nucleotides) under uncultured bacterium. RNAcentral describes it as "partial 16S ribosomal RNA". It matches the Rfam family "Bacterial small subunit ribosomal RNA", at positions 338 to 795 of the family's 1533-position model. The record is from RNAcentral.
CCUACGGGUGGCAGCAGUGGGGAAUAUUGCACAAUGGGGGGAACCCUGAUGCAGCGACGCCGCGUGAGCGAAGGAGCAUUUCGGUAUGUAAAGCUCUAUCAGCAGGGAAGAAAAUGACGGUACCUGACUAAGAAGCCCCGGCUAACUACGUGCCAGCAGCCGCGGUAAUACGUAGGGGGCAAGCGUUAUCCGGAUUUACUGGGUGUAAAGGGGGCGUAGACGGUCCUGCAAGCCAGGUGUGAAAGCCCGGGGCCCAACCCCGGGACUGCCUUUGAAACUGUAAGGCUAGAGUGUGGGAGAGGCAGGCGGAAUGCCUAGUGUAGCGGUGAAAUGCGUAGAUAUUAGGAGGAACACCGGUGGCGAAGGCGGCCUGCUGGACGAUGACUGACGUUGAGGCCCGAAAGCGUGGGGAGCAAACAGGAUUAGAUACCCGAGUAGUC